UCGUGAGUGAGCGACUCUGCAUGUGCUGCCCUGGCAAAUGAAAGCCAAUGAUGACUUCAGACAUGCUAAGCUUGAGGAUAUCUAAUGAUUUAAUGCAAGAAGCCUUGUCCUGUUGCAGGAACGUGAAAAAUCUUUUAGUCUAGCUGUUGAAGCUCUAAGUAAGUCCACAAGAAAGUGCUCCUAUCUAUCCAGAAAUGAGACUGACAGAACAAACCAGCAACAGGCAGCUAUGAAGCAUAGAUCUCAGCCAAUGAGAAACAGAGGCUGCAGAGGGCCAAA
Phalacrocorax carbo (great cormorant) is the source of this 279-nucleotide non-coding RNA. The record is from RefSeq and is a predicted model, not a curated record. Lineage: Eukaryota; Metazoa; Chordata; Aves; Suliformes; Phalacrocoracidae.